GAUGAACGCUAGCUACAGGCUUAACACAUGCAAGUCGAGGGGAAACGACAUCGAAAGCUUGCUUUUGAUGGGCGUCGACCGGCGCACGGGUGAGUAACGCGUAUCCAACCUGCCCACCACUUGGGGAUAACCUUGCGAAAGUAAGACUAAUACCCAAUGAUAUCUCUAGAAGACAUCUGAAAGAGAUUAAAGAUUUAUCGGUGAUGGAUGGGGAUGCGUCUGAUUAGCUUGUUGGCGGGGUAACGGCCCACCAAGGCGACGAUCAGUAGGGGUUCUGAGAGGAAGGUCCCCCACAUUGGAACUGAGACACGGUCCAAACUCCUACGGGAGGCAGCAGUGAGGAAUAUUGGUCAAUGGGCGAGAGCCUGAACCAGCCAAGUAGCGUGCAGGAUGACGGCCCUAUGGGUUGUAAACUGCUUUUAUAAGGGAAUAAAGUGAGCCUCGUGAGGCUUUUUGCAUGUACCUUAUGAAUAAGGACCGGCUAAUUCCGUGCCAGCCGCCGCAGUAA
Molecule: ribosomal RNA, 508 nt
Filed under: uncultured bacterium
Lineage: Bacteria
Description: partial 16S ribosomal RNA
Rfam family: Bacterial small subunit ribosomal RNA
Source: RNAcentral